Molecule: ribosomal RNA, 467 nt
Filed under: uncultured bacterium
Lineage: Bacteria
Description: bacterial SSU rRNA
Rfam family: Bacterial small subunit ribosomal RNA
Source: RNAcentral
UCGAACGGCAGCACGGAGCUUGCUCUGGUGGCGAGUGGCGAACGGGUGAGUAAUAUAUCGGAACGUACCCUAGAGUGGGGGAUAACGUAGCGAAAGUUACGCUAAUACCGCAUACGAUCUAAGGAUGAAAGUGGGGGAUCGCAAGACCUCAUGCUCGUGGAGCGGCCGAUAUCUGAUUAGCUAGUUGGUAGGGUAAAAGCCUACCAAGGCAUCGAUCAGUAGCUGGUCUGAGAGGACGACCAGCCACACUGGAACUGAGACACGGUCCAGACUCCUACGGGAGGCAGCAGUGGGGAAUAUUGGACAAUGGGCGAAAGCCUGAUCCAGCCAUGCCGCGUGUGUGAAUAAGGUCUUCGGAUUGUAAAGCACUUUAAGUUGGGAGGAAGGGCAGUUACCUAAUACGUGAUUGUUUUGACGUUACCGACAGAAUAAGCACCGGCUAACUCUGUGCCAGCAGCCGCGGUAAU